ACCAGGAUGGCCGAGUGGUUAAGGCGUUGGACUUAAGAUCCAAUGGACGAAUUGUCCACGUGGGUUCGAACCCCACUCCUGGUA
This 84-nucleotide transfer RNA is filed under the name Stylophora pistillata. RNAcentral's name for it is "tRNA-Leu". It matches the Rfam family "tRNA". From Rfam's summary of the family: Transfer RNA (tRNA) molecules are approximately 80 nucleotides in length. Their secondary structure includes four short double-helical elements and three loops (D, anti-codon, and T loops). Lineage: Eukaryota; Metazoa; Cnidaria; Anthozoa; Scleractinia; Pocilloporidae. The record is from Rfam by way of RNAcentral.